Pongo abelii (Sumatran orangutan) is the source of this 3416-nucleotide long non-coding RNA. NCBI's taxonomy places the organism in Eukaryota, Metazoa, Chordata, Mammalia, Primates, Hominidae. The record is from Ensembl.
AGUUUAACGGUAGCCUUUGUGAGAAUUUUAAUUUCUGUGUUCUUCCUUCCUCCUGGAAAGUAUGAUGCGAAGUGGUGAGAAUUAUAAAGACAGAACUUCUACAUACACAUACACAGAAAGCAGAAAUAUUAUUAACAGAAAAAGUUUAAACAUUUAUGAGCCUUACAAUUCAGCAGCUCCAGACUCCCCCAUCCAUGUUCAUUAUUUAUGCCUGCAUGGGUGGUGGCAUUGGAUGAAACUGCAGUCACUGUACAGUGUGUCCUGCUUUUCCCAGUUGCUUUUCCACUAAGGGAAAGAUCCUCCCAUGAACAAAAGUUUAUAUCCACACGUUGGACUCUUGCAAUUUGUGAGACAGCAGGGAACCAGGGUUUACUAAUUGCAACUGUUCCUGGUGCCAAAGAAUGAGGGAUCUCCGGAGUGGGGAAGGAAGAUUGAUGUUCUGUGUAUGACAUUUCCCAGGGAAGCUCCUCUGCUAACAGGCAUGCCGUUCCCAUUGAUCAGUUUCUUAAUCCUAGCUGUGCUGUCAGAAUCCCCAGUGGAGCUUCUGAAAAAUACCAACGCCUUGGUCCUCCCCCAGAUACAUAAUUGAUUGGGAGUGGAGUCCUGAGGUGAUUCCGAUGCAUGGCUAAAAACUGUAAACACAGCAAUUUAAUUUCAGAAAAUUCCUUUCACCAUUCUCCCUUUAUAUUCACCAUUCAAUUUACCAUUCUAACCUGGGUUACCUGCCAUUAAAUGUUUGAGUUCUGUUCCCUACCCCUUUGUCACUGAGGGUCUUUCCUGCCUUACUGGCUUCUCCCUUAUUCCCUAUACCUGUCCUAUUGUCCAACUGUUCUGUUUCUCCCUUCUCUCCUUCUCCUUCAUGCAGUCUUAAUGCAGCCUCCGUACUGGAGGAUGCUAGAGGAAGUUACAUAGAUAUAUGUACAUCUUCUAGCCAAUUAUAUUCAAAACAAAGAUGAACAUGGAUGGCUAUGGGUUAUACCCUAUACCCCUGUCACCUCUCACUCCACAAAAUGGAAUUCAUGUGAUUGCACCAAAACUAUAGUCUAAUGCAUAUAUUCAUAAUCAGCUGAUUAGAUUAUAGAAACAUUUCUGGAUAUUUGUAACAAAACUUCUGAAGAGACACCGAUAAGUUCCAUUUCGCUACUCUGUCUGGCAACCAUAGAGAUAUGCCACUGGAUCUUCCUUCAGGAAGAGCUUGCCCUUCAACUGGAGGCCAUGCAGUUAGCUCACGGCCUCCAGCUACAGCACCUUUCCAAAUCUGAAGCAGCAUUCAGCUAAAGACAAGGACUGACAAGGGCAGCUCCCAGCCACUGACAACUCGUUGGGCUAUUAGGACCAGGCCAUCUUUUCCCAAUGUGGUACUCUUCUAAUGGGCACACUGGGCUCUGGAGCUCCCCACUGAGUUAGCCAAGACUUUAUCUGACUUACAUCUGAUUUACAUCGUAGUCUGAGUCCCUCUCUACUCAAUUCUUCUUCUUAUACCUCUCCAUCUUUCCUUUCACAGGUGUCAGCUCUGCAUCACAGUUGAAGGCUGUCUCUGCUUCAUUUUCUUCUUUCACCUUUUAUCUUUCUUAGGCAUUGAACACUAAGAAACUUCCCCUCUUAACUUUCUCUCAGCAUCUGCUUGCCAGAUAAGCUGUGUUGACGUUAUUAUCUGCCUUAAUAUUAUUAAACAUUGUUUAAAAGUUUUAUUACUGUUUUCCAAUUAUUAAAAAAUAAUUUCAAUCUUUUCUGUAUAUACACACACAGAAAAUUAGAGUGAAAAUUUUACCACCUCUAAAAUCUACUGUUUGUAUUUUUCUCCCAGAAUUUUAAUACACGUUUGAAAGGUUCUGUAACGUGGUUACAAAUUAUUUCUUAUUUUAUUCUAAUUGUGUAAAAAUCUUAUCUCUUAAAAAUCUUGUCAUUAAAAAUCCAUUCUCAGAGUUCUAAAAUUAAGUAGUCUGAGCAGAGAUAAUUUAAUGCUGAACCAAAUGUAAGUGAUUCCAGUUUGAUAGGUUUGGAAAACUCCCAUUAGCCAGAGCUAUAUUUCCUGAAGGGACUUACUUGUUCCUCUGAAUGCAAACAAAGCAGUCCUCUUCCUUUAGUUACUUACCACAUUGUAUUGAUUAUUAUUAUUGUCAUUAUUAUUUUGAAAAAAAUACAUGUUGUCAUAAUAUAUUUUGUUGACAUAAUUUCUUCAUUUCUGAUCUGCACAAACCUUGGCAUAGUGCUAGAUACAUGGUUUGUGUACAUUAAGUGUUUAUUGUACUGAAUUAGGCAAAAUUCUUAUACAUAUUUUGACAUCUGCAACUUCAUUGGUGUUCUCAGGGGGAGAAAUCCUCAGUAUAACUUCCAUGUACAUAGAUGAGAAUGGGAAAUUGUUAUUUUUCUUUGAAGUCCUGCCAAAAGAAACUUUAGGUCUGAUAAAACAGUUAUUUUUUUUAAACAGAUGUCGAGCUCUUGAAGACUUUAAGAGUCCUUAUUAUUUCAUAAAUCAGCAUACUCCAACAUACAGCUUUGCAGUAAAGAGAGGGUUUAAGUCAGGAAAACCUUGUUAAAUAAAUGGUCUACAAGUUAGAAUGGCAUAUUGCCUUUCUCCGAAUCCUCAGGCAGAGGCCAGGGUUUGGAGCCAAGAUUAAAGGCUGGAUGAGUCAUCUGCCAUGGUAUGGCAAUGCCUCUGUUCUCACGUCUGCGCAAUCAAAUCUCAAACUGAUUUCUCCUUCUCGUUUUUUUCUUCUCUUUUUGGCAAGAGAGAAAAUAACUUCAGCAUUCUUUUUUAGGAGGGUAAAAAAAAGGAACACCAUUCUAUUUCCCAAAAUUGCAUAUAGAAUUUCAAAGAGUGACCUCUUCCCAGAUAUAGCAAAACUUAUGGUGGCGAUGGGAAUGUGUCACCUUUUGAAGUAUGAAAGCAUUAAGAUCCCCAGGCCUGCCCAUCUCUUCAUUGUACUUUUGGAGAAUGGUAGGAUUAGGAGUAAAGGAGUAUUAAAUAUAAUACCAUCUUCCCCAGACAGUAAUUAAUAUUUCUGGCCAUGCAGACUGUCACGUGGUAUGUCACAGUGGCAAUAAGUGAAUGACGAGAAGACAGACUCCAGGGAUACUGAGAUGUUCAAAGCCUUGCUUUUGUCACAGUUGGCCGAUUAAGUCAUUUUUAGAAUUUGGACUUCUCAGGGGCAGAGGUUUUUUCUUUCAUAUUAGAUAUACUCUUUUCCCCACACCGUUCAGUUACAUAAUAGGAUAAGUGCAUGUACAAAGUCAUGCCUUUUUAGUAUAAAACACAGAAUCAUAUUCUUCAUUUUUGAAGUUAUAGUUAUUCAUGAUAUUACUAAUUUUGGACACAGCAAAUAAGACACUGCCAGAAGUACUUUCCAGGCAGAAUAAAUAUGUAGCUUGCUCCUAGCCGAGUUUGUUAAAUAUAGCUUUGAUCCCCCCCACCC